UUUCUUUGCAGGAUUCGAACUUUCGACUGCCAGAUUGGUAGUCGAACGCUCUACCUACUGAGCCAUUCAGCA
Molecule: non-coding RNA, 72 nt
Organism: Oesophagostomum dentatum (nodular worm)
Lineage: Eukaryota; Metazoa; Nematoda; Chromadorea; Rhabditida; Strongylidae
Source: the annotation of a GenBank genome assembly